This 795-nucleotide ribosomal RNA is filed under the name uncultured fungus. Its description in RNAcentral is "SSU rRNA". It matches the Rfam family "Eukaryotic small subunit ribosomal RNA", at positions 564 to 1365 of the family's 1831-position model. Lineage: Eukaryota; Fungi. The record is from RNAcentral.
GUGCCAGCAGCCGCGGUAAUUCCAGCUCCAAUAGCGUAUAUUAAAGUUGUUGUGGUUAAAAAGCUCGUAGUUGAACCUUGGGCCUGGCUGGCCGGUCCGCCUCACCGCGUGCACUGGUCCGGCCGGGCCUUUCCCUCUGUGGAACCCCAUACCCUUCACUGGGCGUGGCGGGGAAACAGGACAUUUACUUUGAAAAAAUUAGAGUGCUCCAGGCAGGCCUAUGCUCGAAUACAUUAGCAUGGAAUAAUAAAAUAGGACGCGCGGUUCUAUUUUGUUGGUUUAUAGGACCGCCGUAAUGAUUAAUAGGGACAGUCGGGGGCAUCAGUAUUCAACUGUCAGAGGUGAAAUUCUUGGAUCAGUUGAAGACUAACUACUGCGAAAGCAUUUGCCAAGGAUGUUUUCAUUAAUCAGGAACGAAAGUUAGGGGAUCGAAGACGAUCAGAUACCGUCGUAGUCUUAACCAUAAACUAUGCCGACUAGGGAUCGGACGGUGUUAUUCAUGACCCGUUCGGCACCUUACGAGAAAUCAAAGUGCUUGGGCUCCAGGGGGAGUAUGGUCGCAAGGCUGAAACUUAAAGAAAUUGACGGAAGGGCACCACCAGGGGUGGAGCCUGCGGCUUAAUUUGACUCAACACGGGGAAACUCACCAGGUCCAGACACAAUAAGGAUUGACAGAUUGAGAGCUCUUUCUUGAUUUUGUGGGUGGUGGUGCAUGGCCGUUCUUAGUUGGUGGGGUGACUUGUCUGCUUAAAUUGCGAUAACGAACGAGACCUUAACCUGCUAAAUAGCCCGCAU